This 497-nucleotide ribosomal RNA is filed under the name uncultured bacterium. Its description in RNAcentral is "partial 16S ribosomal RNA". It matches the Rfam family "Bacterial small subunit ribosomal RNA", at positions 28 to 523 of the family's 1533-position model. The record is from RNAcentral.
GACGAACGCUGGCGGCGUGCUUAACACAUGCAAGUCGAACGGAGCACCCUUGAUUGAGGUUUCGGCCAAAUGAUAGGAAUGCUUAGUGGCGGACUGGUGAGUAACGCGUGAGGAACCUGCCUUUCAGAGGGGGACAACAGUUGGAAACGACUGCUAAUACCGCAUGACGCAUUUUGAUCGCAUGGUCGAAAUGCCAAAGAUUUAUCGCUGAAAGAUGGCCUCGCGUCUGAUUAGCUAGUUGGUGAGGUAACGGCCCACCAAGGCGACGAUCGGUAGCCGGACUGAGAGGUUGACCGGCCACAUUGGGACUGAGAUACGGCCCAGACUCCUACGGGAGGCAGCAGUGGGGAAUAUUGGGCAAUGGGCGCAAGCCUGACCCAGCAACGCCGCGUGAAGGAAGAAGGCUUUCGGGUUGUAAACUUCUUUUAAGUGGGAAGAGUAGAAGACGGUACCACUUGAAUAAGCCACGGCUAACUACGUGCCAGCCGCCGCCGUAA